RNAcentral lists this ribosomal RNA (492 nucleotides) under uncultured bacterium. RNAcentral describes it as "partial 16S ribosomal RNA". It matches the Rfam family "Bacterial small subunit ribosomal RNA", at positions 29 to 507 of the family's 1533-position model. The record is from RNAcentral.
AGUGAACGCUGGCGGUAGGCCUAACACAUGCAAGUCGAACGGCAGCACAGUAAGAGCUUGCUCUUACGGGUGGCGAGUGGCGGACGGGUGAGGAAUACAUCGGAAUCUACUUUUUCGUGGGGGAUAACGUAGGGAAACUUACGCUAAUACCGCAUACGACCUACGGGUGAAAGCAGGGGAUCUUCGGACCUUGCGCGAUUGAAUGAGCCGAUGUCGGAUUAGCUAGUUGGCGGGGUAAAGGCCCACCAAGGCGACGAUCCGUAGCUGGUCUGAGAGGAUGAUCAGCCACACUGGAACUGAGACACGGUCCAGCCUCCUACGGGAGGCAGAAGUGGGGAAUAUUGGACAAUGGGCGCAAGCCUGAUCCAGCCAUACCGCGUGGGUGAAGAAGGCCUUCGGGUUGUAAAGCCCUUUUGUUGGGAAAGAAAAGCAGCAGGUUAAUACCCCGCUGUUCUGACGGUAACCAAAGAAUAAGCACCGGCUAACUUCGUG